GUGAUCGGCUAGGUCUGCGAUGGAUCGGCACACUGUCCAGCUUAUGACCGCUGAGUUACAAGCAGUAAAUGAUUGAACUCGAUGACUUUUGAAAUUGAUGUAGGAUUCCUCCAUUGGCAGCAAAAACACAAGCGCGUUGCCCUUGUUCCCGAUACGAGCAGUUCGCCCACAACGAUGGACAAAUGAACUAAGGAAAGCACUUUAUAAUAGUGAGUAAGAGUCAAGAGGAAAGGUAAUGAAAGUGAAGAGGAGGAAAGAUUAAAGAAGGACUGAAGAGGAGUGUCAAGCAUGAAUAAAAGGAGAAAUAGGAAUAAAGAAAGAGAAAACCGAAGCUCCCGGAGGAAACCCACGCAGACACAGGGAGAACAUUCAAACUCCACACAGAAAGGACACGGACCGGCCGGCCUGGGGAUUGAACCCAGGACCUUCUUGACCUUCUUACUGUGAGGCGACAGUGCUACCUACUAAGCCACCGUGCCACCAUGAUUAAGAUUAGGACCGUCUUAAUAUUUAAAGUAA
Molecule: long non-coding RNA, 519 nt
Organism: Trichomycterus rosablanca
Lineage: Eukaryota; Metazoa; Chordata; Actinopteri; Siluriformes; Trichomycteridae
Exons: 4
Source: RefSeq, a predicted model, not a curated record